RNAcentral lists this ribosomal RNA (305 nucleotides) under uncultured bacterium. RNAcentral's name for it is "bacterial SSU rRNA". It matches the Rfam family "Bacterial small subunit ribosomal RNA", at positions 335 to 657 of the family's 1533-position model. The record is from RNAcentral.
UGACCUACGGGACGCAGCAGUGGGGAAUAUUGCACAAUGGGGGAAACCCUGAUGCAGCAACGCCGCGUGAGUGAAGGAGUAUUUCGGUAUGUAAAGCUCUAUCAGCAGGGAGGAGAAUGACGGUACCUGACUAAGAAGCCCCGGCUAACUACGUGCCAGCAGCCGCGGUAAUACGUAGGGGGCAAGCGUUAUCCGGAUUUACUGGGUGUGAAGGGAGCGUAGACGGCGCGGCAAGUCUGAAGUGAAAGGCAGGGGCUUAACCCCUGAACUGCUUUGGAAACUGCCAUGCUAGAGUGCUGGAGAGG